This 740-nucleotide ribosomal RNA is filed under the name Stenotrophomonas maltophilia. Its description in RNAcentral is "bacterial SSU rRNA". It matches the Rfam family "Bacterial small subunit ribosomal RNA", at positions 50 to 777 of the family's 1533-position model. The record is from RNAcentral. Lineage: Bacteria; Pseudomonadati; Pseudomonadota; Gammaproteobacteria; Lysobacterales; Lysobacteraceae.
UACCCAUGCAAGUCGAACGGCAGCACAGGAGAGCUUGCUCUCUGGGUGGCGAGUGGCGGACGGGUGAGGAAUACAUCGGAAUCUACUCUGUCGUGGGGGAUAACGUAGGGAAACUUACGCUAAUACCGCAUACGACCUACGGGUGAAAGCAGGGGACCUUCGGGCCUUGCGCGAUUGAAUGAGCCGAUGUCGGAUUAGCUAGUUGGCGGGGUAAAGGCCCACCAAGGCGACGAUCCGUAGCUGGUCUGAGAGGAUGAUCAGCCACACUGGAACUGAGACACGGUCCAGACUCCUACGGGAGGCAGCAGUGGGGAAUAUUGGACAAUGGGCGCAAGCCUGAUCCAGCCAUACCGCGUGGGUGAAGAAGGCCUUCGGGUUGUAAAGCCCUUUUGUUGGGAAAGAAAUCCAGCCGGCUAAUACCCGGUUGGGAUGACGGUACCCAAAGAAUAAGCACCGGCUAACUUCGUGCCAGCAGCCGCGGUAAUACGAAGGGUGCAAGCGUUACUCGGAAUUACUGGGCGUAAAGCGUGCGUAGGUGGUCGUUUAAGUCCGUUGUGAAAGCCCUGGGCUCAACCUGGGAACUGCAGUGGAUACUGGGCGACUAGAAUGUGGUAGAGGGUAGCGGAAUUCCUGGUGUAGCAGUGAAAUGCGUAGAGAUCAGGAGGAACAUCCAUGGCGAAGGCAGCUACCUGGACCAACAUUUGACACUGAGGGCACGAAAGCGUGGGGAGCAAACAGGA